AUAAGCUCUUCCUCGGUUGCCAACAACCUAGCAACCAUCCCAUCAAGCAUUUCCCUCAACGUCACAACCUCGGCAAGGAGAGUUUUCUCCAUGGUCUUGGCUUGUUCUUGACACUUGGACAUCCCUUCGUUCAAGGCAGCUUGCAUUCCUUCUUGAAGCUCUUCUCUUCCAUUCUCGAGCUCCUCGACGCGUUGCUCAAAGUCCCCGAACGUAUC
Molecule: long non-coding RNA, 215 nt
Filed under: Ricinus communis (castor bean)
Lineage: Eukaryota; Viridiplantae; Streptophyta; Magnoliopsida; Malpighiales; Euphorbiaceae
Description: long non-coding RNA (RCOM_LNC002159)
Source: RNAcentral